UGACCUGAGCCGAAGGUGGACGCUCAACCGACUGAGCCACCCAGGCGCCCUGGAAUCCUUUUUUGAAAAGAGAUUGGCAUAGAGGAAAAUUACUAAAACUACGUCAGCCUUCUUCCCCCUAGGAGGAAGAGAACAGCGCCUUAGCUUCUUGCCCACUUCAGCUCGAUGUGGCUGCGUGAAGCCCCAACUCAACACCUUUCAAAACCUGCUGUACGUACGGACAGCAAAUUCAGGGUCACUCGCAGAUGCCAGAGUAGCAACGGCCUCCGCACUCAGCUCUCAGAAACAACUCUCCCUCCUUUCCAAAUUCAGGAGCAACAAUUCCCAGACUCUCGAGGUGCCCCUGUGGACUCAUCUUCAGGUUUUGACAAGUCCUUGUAAACUAGACUGACUCUUGGCUUGAGUGGGCACAGCAAACGGUGCAUCGCAGGCAAAGGAGACUGAAAAGAAAGAAAACUCCCACAUUCCUCAUUGAAGGCUCUGUGAGUCCUAAAGAGUUCCUGGUCUUCCUGUUUAAUUCUCCUGCGUUCUGCGAAAUAUGUGCGAUGUAAAACUUAGUGAUAAAGAGACGUGACAGACUUCUGAAGAGGUGACAGAAGCUCAGCCUCCAAAAGGCGGUCUGCAGGAUUUUUGUGACCCUCAUUCCACGUGGGUGACUACGGUGCUCUGCCCACGUUAACAUCCAAGACCAACAAAAGACAGCCGAAGAGAAUGGUCUCCGAUAAGAGUGACGUUCUCUGCCUGGAGCCAUCUGCAGGCUGAAGUAUGUUGAUAAGCACGCCAUAAAUUGUAACCUUAACAAGCCAUCCUCCAGUUUUAGAGGGAAGCCAGUGCAGCCCACUGCAUAGAUAAGAGCUCAUUCUCAAGUCCAGAGAGGAAAGGUUACGAACAGCUCUCUCUUUUCUCCCUGAGCUAGCUGCUGUACAAAGGAAACUGGCGAGGCAGUGACAAUGGCCACCAAAAUUGUUUCCAUUUUCUGCAAAUCACUCUCCCCAAGAGUGGAGACCCUUUCCAAGUCUCAUAACCGUGUCAAGUUUGGGUCAUUAAUCACUGUCCCCGGCACUGGAGGAUCCUUUGGUUAAUGGCGUUACUUCCUGAGCCAGGCUUCUCACUAUCUAUGGGCAGGAUUUAUGCCUCAUUAUUCUCUUGGCUAAAGAGUUCCUCAAAUUUCCUGAGGCUUUCCUCUCCCCACAGGAUGAGGAGGAAGAGGACAACUCCCAUUCUGGGUCGUGCUUUGUUUUUCCCUUUGAAUUGUGAGUGAUCUAUGCUGCUUCUCCCUCUUAGCCGUCACUAUAACUGAUGGGCCUCUAGAUUUAUUGGUUCAAUUAGGGCUCUAUCUACAUGACAGCAACUGGUGGGUUUGCUCUAGUUCCCGACAAAAGUUGUGAAUUGGGUAGUGAAAAGUAUUGAUCCAUUUGCUGAUCAGUUGAAUGUAAUCUGUCAGAGUAACCUCUGAACGGUGAGUAAAUAAUCCAGGGAUCAUAUACAACAGUGUUAUGGAAAGGAAACUUUUCAAAAUAUUGUCUUUUCCACCACAUAGUGCUGUAGUUUGGCAAUUCUGAUCUUGUUUCUGCCAAGUCGAUAUAGCAAAAUGUAUAUUAUUUUCUGUUAACCAGCUAUCAGGCUAAGUAAAAUGUGAAUUUUGAGAGUUCAUUCCUAACAAGUCCUUUUAAUGAACACCUGGUCAACCAAGUUACUCAGAUCUGAUGUCAUAGACUGCACAACCUCAGGGAACCAUUUAGAUUAUUUGACUGGAAAAGUAAUUGAUUUGAAACCAACACAAAUGCCAAAGUAGUAGAUGUAGGUAGCCUCUCUGUUUAUCAUUUCCUUGGCCUCCCUCAUCAACUGAACCCCAUUAUGUUGAGGUAUUUGGUGACGAUGUGCUUCACGGGUCCUCCCCUGUCCCAGGAGUGAAUGUUGACAAGGCACAUCCACUGCUCUUGCCCAUCCCUGGAAUGGGUAUGGUCUUGUGACAUAACUGGUCAAUGAGUCAUGAGAGGGAAUCUGCUGGGACGAUUUUGAGAAAGUUCUUCCACCCUAAUAAAAAUUGAUAAGAAGAAUAACUGACCUUUUCUGGUUCUGGACAAGCUCUGUAAAAAGGUGGAAGUUGCUGAAGCCAUCGGGUCAUCAUUGGUGGGGGGAGAAGGGUGAGUUGAAGGUCCCAACAAGCUGAGGAUGGCAGAGCAGAGCAGAAAGUUUAAAGAAACUCCUGCACCGCAGUGCUGAGCUGUCCUGAAACCACCUUGCCCUUGGAUUGUUUUGUUAUAUGGGAUAAGAAACCCCUUAUUGUUCAAUGCACCAAUAGUUGGGUUCUCUGCCACUUGUGACCGAAAAGCAUUUUAACAGAUCUCAGCACAGAUGUAAGUGUAAUAGUGUUGAUGGAAGCCUGAAGACCUAUGCUCUGAAACCUUGAGCAAAAUCAUUCCUGGCUCUGGUGUGAGUUGGAAACCUGUCAAAAAUUUUUUUAAGUUCUGGAUCAAAUACUCAGGAAUCGGGGGCAAGACUCUAAUUCAGAGAGGAAAUCAAGUCUAGAAUUUCAGUGUGAAGGCAAAAAUGAUGUCGACUGUCAGGACUGAAAAGUGCACACUGUGCUCUUAUGCCAGACGCAAAAGACCAUAUAGGGUAUGAUUCCAUUUACAUGAAAUGUCCAGAGUAAGCAAGUCCACAGAGACAGAAAGCAGAUUAGUGUUUGCCAGGGUCUGAGGGAUGAGGGGAAACGGGGAGUGAGUAAUGGGAACGGGCUUUCUUUUUGAGGUAGUGAAAAUAUUCUGGAACUAGAUAGUGGUGAUGGUUGCCGAACACCGAACGUACCAAAUGUCACUGAAUUGUACACUUAAAAUGGAUAAAUAGUGAAUUUUAUGUUAUGUGUC
Long non-coding RNA from Panthera uncia (snow leopard), 2870 nucleotides. RefSeq lists it as uncharacterized. The record is from RefSeq and is a predicted model, not a curated record. NCBI's taxonomy places the organism in Eukaryota, Metazoa, Chordata, Mammalia, Carnivora, Felidae. The transcript has 3 exons.